Non-coding RNA from Paramuricea clavata, 242 nucleotides. The record is from the annotation of a GenBank genome assembly. Lineage: Eukaryota; Metazoa; Cnidaria; Anthozoa; Malacalcyonacea; Plexauridae.
UGCUGUCACUGUACAGCUUGGUACAGUUUGUGGGAAUAGUAUACAUCAUGCAUGCUAUAGCAAUUAUAGCCCCUUUUUACUAUCUCAGUAUAGUAACCUGAUUAGUCACUAGACUGAAGUAGGUUAUUAUCUUUUUCCAAAGUGGGAAUACUGGCAGUGAAAAUCUGAAAUGCUAAUCGAUGCCAGUGGGGCAGUGGCUAUGUUUUGAACCAUGAAACAAACAACUUGACCAGGCCAAUGAG